GCCUUCUUAACUCGAUGGUAGAGCGCACGGCUUUUAACCAUGUGGUCGUGGGUUCGAUCCCCACAGACGGUG
This 72-nucleotide transfer RNA is filed under the name Ipomoea nil (Japanese morning glory). It matches the Rfam family "tRNA". From Rfam's summary of the family: Transfer RNA (tRNA) molecules are approximately 80 nucleotides in length. Their secondary structure includes four short double-helical elements and three loops (D, anti-codon, and T loops). The record is from Rfam by way of RNAcentral. Lineage: Eukaryota; Viridiplantae; Streptophyta; Magnoliopsida; Solanales; Convolvulaceae.